RNAcentral lists this long non-coding RNA (549 nucleotides) under Pongo abelii (Sumatran orangutan). Its description in RNAcentral is "lincRNA". Lineage: Eukaryota; Metazoa; Chordata; Mammalia; Primates; Hominidae. The record is from RNAcentral.
AAUUGAAUAUCCGCAGGCUGGGCACAGAAGGUAAAGUGAUGAGUGAUAUCGAUCAUGGCCUAGGGUCUGAAAAGGCCCAGCAGUUGUCCAGUCCCGACCCAGCAGAGGCAGUGUUUCCACAUGGUUAGAUAAGCCCUUUGCUCUCAGCCUGAGAGGGUGGCCUGGAGGGCGGAGCUGCAAGAGCCUGAUAAGAGCCUUGGCAAGGAGGGUCCCCCAGUGUUUAAUGGACCCCUUUCCCUUUGAAAUCGGUCUUUUUGAUCCUUAAGAAGAGGAGCAAGGCUUUUGGAACAAGCUGAGAUUCCACUUUAGAUCCACGUACGUGGCUCAGGCAGAAGCCUCUGAGUCUUAUGGGUCUCUGUGAAUACUGAAGUGAUCCCAGUCACCAAGGGAUGAUGCCUCCCUCUCCAGAGAGCCACUUCACCUCUUCCUCUACGAAUCUCUGGCUGGAUAACAGCAGGGACCUCAUUUUCUUACUGGGGUCCCAAAGCGACUCCUCUUGACUGUGGCAUAGAGUUAUUUCUCCAAACAAGCACACAGCAUUUCCCACGC